Transfer RNA from Phlebiopsis gigantea 11061_1 CR5-6, 97 nucleotides. It matches the Rfam family "tRNA". From Rfam's summary of the family: Transfer RNA (tRNA) molecules are approximately 80 nucleotides in length. Their secondary structure includes four short double-helical elements and three loops (D, anti-codon, and T loops). Further hydrogen bonds mediate the characteristic L-shaped molecular structure. tRNAs have two regions of fundamental functional importance: the anti-codon, which is responsible for specific mRNA codon recognition, and the 3' end, to which the tRNAs corresponding amino acid is attached (by aminoacyl-tRNA synthetases). tRNAs cope with the degeneracy of the genetic code in two manners: having more than one tRNA (with a specific anti-codon) for a particular amino acid; and 'wobble' base-pairing, i.e. permitting non-standard base-pairing at the 3rd anti-codon position. The record is from Rfam. NCBI's taxonomy places the organism in Eukaryota, Fungi, Basidiomycota, Agaricomycetes, Polyporales, Phanerochaetaceae.
UGCCCCAUGGCUAAGUUGGUCAAAGCGUCCGACUGUUAAAGUGGCGCAAGCUGCUUACGUAAUCGGAAGGUCGUGAGUUCAAUCCUCACUGGGGCAG